CAGCUACCCCAGAAUCCUGUGCGCCACAAGUGAGACGUUGAAGACCAAAAAUUGUCUAUUCAACAACCAAAGAGGUGAAGUUUCUAGCAGUUGCUUGUUAGAAAAGCGUUCCAAACCUAGUUAAUUGUCAUCUUAACACCAUCGUACCAAUAUUACAGACCACGAAAUCUCAAAAGUUGCAAAAUAUGAUAGAAUUACCUCUCCCUUAGAAGUCACAUCAG
Molecule: unclassified non-coding RNA, 221 nt
Filed under: Hevea brasiliensis (rubber tree)
Lineage: Eukaryota; Viridiplantae; Streptophyta; Magnoliopsida; Malpighiales; Euphorbiaceae
Source: RNAcentral